Molecule: ribosomal RNA, 672 nt
Filed under: Rhizopus arrhizus
Lineage: Eukaryota; Fungi; Mucoromycota; Mucoromycetes; Mucorales; Rhizopodaceae
Description: partial 28S ribosomal RNA
Rfam family: Eukaryotic large subunit ribosomal RNA
Source: RNAcentral
GAUUACCCGCUGAACUUAAGCAUAUCAAUAAGCGGAGGAAAAGAAAAUAACAAUGAUUUCCCUAGUAACGGCGAGUGAAGAGGAAAGAGCUCAAAGUUGGAACCUGUUUGGCCUAGCUAAACCGGAUUGUAGACUGUAGAAGUGUUUUCCAGGCAAGCCGAGUAAAUAAGUCCUUUGGAACAGGGCAUCAUAGAGGGUGAGAAUCCCGUCUUUGGCUUGAGCAUUUGCCUUUUGUGAUACGCUUUCAAAGAGUCAGGUUGUUUGGGAAUGCAGCCUAAAUUGGGUGGUAAAUCUCACCUAAAGCUAAAUAUUGGCGAGAAACCGAUAGCGAACAAGUACCGUGAGGGAAAGAUGAAAAGAACUUUGAAAAGAGAGUUAAACAGUAUGUGAAAUUGUUAAAAGGGAACCGUUUGGAGCCAGACUGGCUUGUCUGUAAUCAAUCUAGGCUUCGGCCUGGAUGCACUUGCAGGCUAUGCCUGCCAACGACAAUUUGACUUGAGGGAAAAAACUAGGGGAAAUGUGGCCCACUUGUGGGUGUUAUAGUCCCUUAGAAAAUACCUUGGGUUGGAUUGAGGAACGCAGCGAAUGCUUAUUGGCGAGUUUUCCAGGAAGGUUUUCUGAGGUACUACGGUAUCAAGGUUGAUCUUUUUGGUUAUACUUCUAUUCGCUUAG